AGCAAACACCCCUCACUUUUUUUUUUUUUUUCUCAUCUUCUAUAACCUCCCUUUACUCUUCUCCUUCCUCCAUCUCCCUCCCUCACAACACCAAAUCACCACCAUCACAACCAGUGGUUGCCGCGACCAGCGCCACCAGAAGCCACCACUGGCCGGUGGCUGUCCCCCACGCACCCCUUCUCUCUCAUUCAUUUUUGUGAGCUUUUUCAUCCUCAUUUUAAAUUAGUGCUUUUAAUCUUUAAAGUUUUGGGUAUAUUUAUGAAUGUUAGUUUAAAUUAAUUUAUAUCUUGCUAGAAUUUGUAAUUGGUAAGUGUUAGAGGUGAGAUUUGAAAAUGAAUAAGUUAGGGUUUGUGUUGGGGAUGAAAUUGAAGGUAGUAUGCUUUUAUGUAUUUUGGUGAUUUUGUAAUAUUGGCACAAAUUUAUAGAAGCUUUUGAUAAGUAUUAUUUUUGAUUAAUAAUGGUGGUUUUAAUGAUUAAAAAUAGUUAAAAUAUUUGGUCACUUUUAAUAAUUAAAUAUAAAUUAAUUAUGCUAAUGGUGGUGAAUGUGAGUAUUGUUGUUGAUUUUGUGGUGAUAACAAGUACUAAUAAAGAAUUAUUGUAUAAAAUUGCUAAUAAAGAAUUUUUGAAUCAUGUGUCGCUAGCGAUGAUUAAGUGUUCUCAUUGUUAAUUAUGGGUACAUGGUUGAUGUUUAAUUGUUGUGGUUAGUAUUAAAUUGUUGCCUAACUAAUUCCUUAAUAUGGUUAUGAGAUGUCUAGCCUACUAAUUGCUUUGUUCUUAUACUUUGUCACCUCAAACCUUGAGGAAUGGAACAAAUUUGAUUGAAAAUCAUUACCAUUAUUCUUUGAAACAGAGUGUAAUACACUACAUUAUACUAAUAAAGACCACAUAGUCUUGUUUUAUUGUAAAAGUGUAUAAAUUGAAUCUUUUCCCCUUGAACAUGCCUUGUUUUAGAAUUUAAUGGAAACUAAUGUUAUAGUUAGAUUGAUUGAUGACAUUGUUUGUGAGUAAACAUGUUGUGUGUAUGAUUAGAUUGCAUAUUCAUAUGAGUUGUGGCUUGUAAGGAUCGAAGUAGGGUACUUCGUAGAGCAAGUAGCUCCUAAAUGAAGUCAAGUAGACUUACUAUUCUUACUUUAAACGUGUAUAGGUGCCCGGUUCAUAAGAGGGCCGUAACAACCUCUUUCGGAGUGAUUUUUGUGACCUUUUAUCUUGUAGUUGUAGUGUGGAUCGGCUUGUAGAGAUGGUAGAGAAUGGGUUUCGAUGUCGCGAGAGUGGAAUGUUGGAUUAUAUGAGAUAGAAUGGGAAUGAUUUCUUAUUGAUAAGUUUUAAAUUAUGUUUUAUGAAUGGGAAUGAGUUCCUUAUUGAUGAGAUAUUAAGUUGGUUGUUUAUUGUGACUCCACUGGAUUGGUACCCCAGUUGGUUUAGUUCCCGGAGGCAUGGAUCAUCUGUAUAUGGUCUCUGUACGGGGGUAUGAUCAUACUUUGCCAUUGGGCGCCGGCAUGUUUGUCACCGUCCUUGGCUGAGGUGUUGCCAUGUGAGUCUUGUAAACCCCAAUAUGGUGGUCUCUUGUCACGUAAGAGAAUAUAUGAAAUCAAAGAAGAGAAGGAAAAGGGUGAAGGCAUUGAGAAGUUGAUACAAAUUGAUUGUGGGCUUGGUAACACAAGCAAGCUAAUCAAUUUGGUGAGCUUGUUUAACAUAUGGGUUUGGAUAAUCAUGCAAGUAAGAGCAAGAACCUUGACUCUUACAUGCUGGAUGACAUUGGGAAACAUGGUUUCUAAUUUACUUUGAGCCAAAUGCGAGCCACAUUCUGAACUCAGCAGCAGAAUAACAAGUGUGCUCAAUGUACAGAGGAGCAAGUCCAGUGGUUGUUUAUCAACAAGGGAGAGAACUGGUUCUGGUGUUUACUGAUUUUUGUCCACUUAUUUGCAAAGUUAAAGGGGCACAUGAUAAAAAUGUGAUUGUAUCAACUAAAGAUACCAAAGGAGCCCACAAAAGGCUGCAUACAGGCCAUACAGACCACAUAGAACAGGGCAAGGCGUCAGAACAGCACAGCAGCAGAACUAGCGACCAGGCCACCUUGCACGACACGUGGAGACCAAAACUGUGCAUCCAGGACCUGGGGUAUAGUGGAAAUAAAAUCUUGGUACUUGGAUCUAGCCAUCAAGGGCCUAGGACUAUGCUAACAAUCCACGUGGAGUCGUAGAAGCUGAGCUGAAGGAAGGGUGGUCGACAGUUCUCCUGAUCAGAAUUUGUUUUUUAAGUGUUUUUGUUGCUUUAUGUUUUUGUUUUAAGUGUUUUGUAAAUGCACGUGUCUUUUUAAUGAGGUGUGUGCUAAUAUAGCCGUUAUGUUAGUUGAGAGCUCUAUAUAAGGAGAGCCUCACUUGUGUAUCAUACAUCUUACGCUUUCUUUUUGAUCAUUCAAUAAGAAUAUUGAGGUAAUUCAGAAAAA
Amaranthus tricolor (Joseph's coat) is the source of this 2446-nucleotide long non-coding RNA. RefSeq lists it as uncharacterized. Lineage: Eukaryota; Viridiplantae; Streptophyta; Magnoliopsida; Caryophyllales; Amaranthaceae. The record is from RefSeq and is a predicted model, not a curated record. The transcript is spliced from 2 exons.